AUACGUAGGGAGCGAGCGUUGUCCGGAUUUACUGGGUGUAAAGGGUGCGUAGGCGGCUUUUUAAGUCAGGUGUGAAAACCGUGGGCUUAACUCACGGAUUGCAUUUGAAACUGAGGGGCUUGAGUGGAGCAGAGGCAGGCGGAAUUCCCGGUGUAGCGGUGAAAUGCGUAGAGAUCGGGAGGAACACCAGUGGCGAAGGCGGCCUGCUGGGCUUUAACUGACGCUGAGGCACGAAAGCAUGGGUAGCAAACAGGAUUAGAUACCCUGGUAGUCCAUGCCGUAAACGAUGAGUAUUAGGUGUAGGGGACGAUAGUCUUCUGUGCCGGAGCAAACGCAAUAAAUACUCCGCCUGGGGAGUACGGUCACAAGAUUAAA
This 375-nucleotide ribosomal RNA is filed under the name uncultured bacterium. RNAcentral describes it as "bacterial SSU rRNA". It matches the Rfam family "Bacterial small subunit ribosomal RNA", at positions 523 to 898 of the family's 1533-position model. The record is from RNAcentral.